Molecule: ribosomal RNA, 497 nt
Filed under: uncultured bacterium
Lineage: Bacteria
Description: partial 16S ribosomal RNA
Rfam family: Bacterial small subunit ribosomal RNA
Source: RNAcentral
GAUGAACGCUGGCGGCGUGCCUAAUACAUGCCAGUCGAGCGAACGGACGAUAAGCUUGCUUCUUUGAUGUUUGCGGCGGACGGGUGAGUAACACGUGUAUAACCUACCUAUAUGACUGGGAUCACUUCGGGAAACCGGAGCUAAUACCGGAUAAUAUUUUGAACCGCAUGGUUCAAAAGUGAAAGACGGCCUUGCGGUCACUUAUCGAGGGUUCCGCGCUGCAUUAGCUAGUUGGUAAGGUAACGGCUUACCAAGGCAACGAUGCAUAGCCGACCUGAGAGGGUGAUCGGCCACACUGGAACUUGGACACGGUCCAGACUCCUACGGGAGGCAGCAGUAGGGAAUCUUCCGCAAUGGGCGAAAGCCUGACGGAGCAACGCCGAGUGUGUGAUGAAGGUCUUCGGAUCGUAAAACUCUGUUAUUAGGGAAGAACAGAUGUGUAAGUAACUGUGCACAGCUUGACGGUACCUAAUCAGAAAGCCACGGCUAACUACGUG